UUAAAUAUUUGUUUCUCCUUUUUAGCUUAACAUACACAACAUGUAUAUGCGGUGUAGUCACUUGAACUUAAUUACCUGAUGACAAAGUACCUUUGACUAGUUAUACUCAAAACCUGUGAGAUUUCACUAUGAGAACAAACAAAUUUCUAAAUAUCUCCUACUCUUCUUUUUUAUUUUUCCCUUUUCCUGCCUUCAUUCUAGCUGCAGCAACUUUGCUACAAGAGCCUGUAUCAUGCUAGAUCCUACCUAGUUCCAAUCCAUACCAAUAGGCCUAUGGGUAGGGUAUGCAUCCAAAAUAGACGAAUCAUGAGGAUGUAUUGGAUACCAGCGAUUUUGGUUUCAAUUCUGCCCUUAUCUCUGAUUUUGACUAGCUUUCAUCCCAAGUUCAAUCCUAGUUAAUAAAAACAAAGAGCCAUCAUAAAUUUGAAGUCUGAAUUUUGAUAUAGAAAAUGCGAACUUGAUUUGAUCCAAUUAGGACUGGCAAAUGAGCAAGUUGCUCGGUCGCUAGCUUGAGUUUGGCUCAAAAUUUGGUUCGAGUUCGAUUUUCUUCAUUAAAAUGUUAUGGCGUCUUUU
RNAcentral lists this long non-coding RNA (573 nucleotides) under Phoenix dactylifera (date palm). Its description in RNAcentral is "long non-coding RNA (PDAC_LNC020573)". The record is from RNAcentral. Lineage: Eukaryota; Viridiplantae; Streptophyta; Magnoliopsida; Arecales; Arecaceae.